AAUAAGUAAAAAACUUUCUAAAAAUUUAUAAAAAACAAAAUAGGUUAAGUAAAUUACCGCCAAAUCAAUAAGUCUGUAAAUGGAAAAGCAAGAUUUUUGCUUUCCCUUUUGGCCAUUCCAUUUUAUUCCACUCAAAAGAUGGUCCUUGAAAUGACAAUAUCAGCCUCACCUGGGACGUUGUUAGAAAUCAAAAUCUCAAACUCCAUCCAGACCUACUGAAUCAGAAUCACUGAUUAUAGAACCUCUCCAAGAGGUUCUAAAACACUCUAAAGUUUGAGAAGCACAUCUCCAUUCUACUCUGUUUCACAAAACUUUAAUAAAUGUGUAAAUUUCAUUUUGCCAGUACAGAUUCUUACCAAACCCAGAAAAUUAAUAACACAUCCAUUGCUCUGUUUUAACUAUAGUCACCAUACCAGUGUCCAUAAUUCCUACAAAUAGAAUAUGUAAAUUGAGCCCAAGGAAAACAACCCAAUAGCAUUAUCCAUCUAAAAUAUGAACAAGGGCUACAGUGAUUGGAAUUCUUUCAAGACCUGACUACACACAUUGAUUUAGGAUUAAAACAGUAAACACUUAGCUCAUUCUAAGCUUUAACAGAUAAAAUAGAUUUUUAAUAUAAGCUCAGAAAUGAGUAUCUUGCCGAGAGGGCAAGAGUAAACAUCCUGUGUGCUGUGACAAAAGUGAAAUAUAAUAUAUGAAAAAGGCAGUCAGAAUUCCAAUCUAUUGCUAUGAGUGGUUGUCUUGCCAAAUAAUGAAAAGUAUUGACAUUGCUGCUGAGCUGUCAUUGGCAUGCUACACAAACAUUGAGAUUUUCUAGGCAAAGUGACUGGAAGUCAUUCAAAUAUUUAUAAUGGUGUAAUGGGUGAACUGGAGAAUUUCUCUUUCAAAAAAAUUUUUGUUCCAAACUCCUUGAUGAGAAAAUAUUUGGAAUAAACCACAAUAGAUUUAUAUACAGACUUAUAUGGCUGAAAUUGAUUUUUGUUGCCCUGGGAAUUUAAGAAUCUUCUUAAUAGUUGAGAGCUGGUGUACAGCUGCAAGAGGUUGGCUUAAUACGAAGCCAAUAUUUAUGCUUUCUUGAUAGAAAAAAUGAGAAUUCUCUCUCUGUUUUCUAUCUUACUUAUGUUGAAAGCCUGGCAACACUGGGAUAUAAUACUUGCUUCUUCAAAAUGUUUUUAGACUGUUGUUCACUCUUUUGUAUUUCAUCUCGAAGCUGCUUUAUUUAUAAUAUUAUUAAACCUCAAAGAAACCCAUAUGGUGGAAGGGAAUGGAGAAAUUUUGCACUUUCACUAUUUUAUUCUUCUUUAAUAGAAUUUACGUGAAAAUGAAAAUUGUUCAAGUCUGCUUUUUGUCUCAAGGAGUAUGUCUAUACCUUGCAACAGGAUGGCUUAAAUGGAUGGGCAUGUGUGCGUGCGUUGUCUCCCUGUGUAAGAAGAGCUAUCACCUACUAUUUGCCAGGCAUCAUGCUAAGGAAUUCUCUAAUUCUUUCAACGAUCCUCAAAAAUGACAGAGGAGGAAACUGAACUUAAGAAAAUCAUUCUGGCCAUGAUGUGGGAGAUGAAGUGAAGAAAUGGUAAAAAGGAGAUCACUUGGGAGAUCACUACUACAUUACAGCUGAGAGACGAUAAAGACCUCACUGGAACAAUGACAGAGUAGAUAUGAAGAAAAGAACAAAAGGACUUUGUGACUUAUUGGCUACCCCAGGUGAAAGAGAGUGAAAAAAUACUCCAAGGUGAUGUGGAAGAUAGUGUGGACAAUUCACUGCAAGAGAACAGGAGUUUUAAAAAGGGAAAUGAUGUAUUCAGUUUAGUAUGUAUUGCAUUUGAGGUGCCAGCAGAUCAUCUAUAUAAAUACCCAGACAGAGGGGAGAUGAUUUCUGAGCUGUCAGCUCAUGGUAGUGGCUGAAAUCAUAUAGGCCUGGUAGACAGUACAGAGCAAUGGUUCUUAACAAGGUUGUGUGUUUAUGCGGAGGGAGAGAUUGGUCUGGCUUACCUAUCACUGAGUAAGACAAUAAACCAGCACACAAAGCUUAA
Molecule: long non-coding RNA, 2027 nt
Organism: Prionailurus viverrinus (fishing cat)
Lineage: Eukaryota; Metazoa; Chordata; Mammalia; Carnivora; Felidae
Exons: 3
Source: RefSeq, a predicted model, not a curated record